UGGGUGCCUCUUAUUAUGCCUAUAAUGUAACUGACUCUUGAAGCUUGACUUAUUGUUCUGGAUUUGUAGCUGGUGAAAAGGAAGUCAAAAGUAAUUUCCAAAACCUGAUCUCUAGCAGAUGAAGACCUUGCAGAAAAGCAGUCAGUUUGAUGGUUGUGCAGGCAAGGAAAAAUCAUUUGGGACCAGAAAACUCUUUAGAGAAUGAAGACAGCAUUAAUGUGUUCCAAGACCAAGACACUGCUUCAAUUCCAGGUUUCUCUGGUUGCUUGCUGAGUGUACCUGUCCAGACGUGUGAGGCUUCCUGGAUGGCCAGCAGGCUGCAGUGGAUUUGCCUGAGUCUCAGGAUGGGAGGAGUCACCAGCACACAUUGUGUUACCUGUCACACUUUGUGGGACCCUUCACUAGCAAGGCAUGCAGGUCCCCCUCACCCCUACCACCAACAGCAUUCUUUCUCAGCGAUAUCAAAAUCCUUUCUAAAAUAGGAGUUGGAUGUGUAAUUUAAAACCUUUAUUCAGAAAUAACAAAGGAUCCCCAGUGUCCUUUCCCUUCAACAAGGCCUGGGAGAAAGUAGCUGGUACCAGUCUAUUGUUAAUACUCAUGAAAUUGGUACCUCAGAAGGGUAUUGGUGGAGAUAGCUUUCUUACUUCAGUUCCACUGAAGAUGUGCACUCCUUUUGUGGGAAUUCUGAGCCGUUCAGUGCUUCCAAAUUUCAUUAACUCUGCAGAUAAAGUUGUUGUCUUCUCCCUGAGCGAGCUCUCAUGGAUGUGUGCUGCUGGUGGCCUCAAGCUGGGAGUGACUGGCUUUUGGUGGGUGGCUCUUGGUGAACAGAGUGAAUGGCACACAGAUGCAGAACUCCAGAGGGGACAAGAGUGCCCUCACCUGUUAGGAGAGAAGAGUGCCCUCACCUGUUUCUGACUUAAUGCAUAAACAAACAAUU
Corvus hawaiiensis (hawaiian crow) is the source of this 937-nucleotide long non-coding RNA. RefSeq lists it as uncharacterized. NCBI's taxonomy places the organism in Eukaryota, Metazoa, Chordata, Aves, Passeriformes, Corvidae. The record is from RefSeq and is a predicted model, not a curated record. The transcript is spliced from 3 exons.